RNAcentral lists this ribosomal RNA (404 nucleotides) under uncultured bacterium. RNAcentral's name for it is "bacterial SSU rRNA". It matches the Rfam family "Bacterial small subunit ribosomal RNA", at positions 355 to 776 of the family's 1533-position model. The record is from RNAcentral.
UGGGGAAUAUUGGACAAUGGGGGCAACCCUGAUCCAGCAAUGCCGCGUGAGUGAUGAAGGCCUUCGGGUUGUAAAGCUCUUUUGUUAGGGACGAUAAUGACGGUACCUAACGAAUAAGCCCCGGCUAACUUCGUGCCAGCAGCCGCGGUAAUACGAAGGGGGCUAGCGUUGUUCGGAAUGACUGGGCGUAAAGGGAGCGUAGGCGGUUUGGAACGUUUGGUGUGAAAGUCCUGGGCUUAACCUGGGGACUGCAUUGAAUACGGCCAGACUAGAGGCAUAGAGGGGAAAAUGGAAUUGCGUGUGUAGAGGUGAAAUUCGUAGAUAUACGCAAGAACACCGAUGGCGAAGGCAGUUUUCUGGCUAUGACCUGACGCUAAGGCUCGAAAGCGUGGGGAGCAAACAGG